RNAcentral lists this ribosomal RNA (491 nucleotides) under Shewanella algae. RNAcentral's name for it is "bacterial SSU rRNA". It matches the Rfam family "Bacterial small subunit ribosomal RNA", at positions 505 to 995 of the family's 1533-position model. Lineage: Bacteria; Pseudomonadati; Pseudomonadota; Gammaproteobacteria; Alteromonadales; Shewanellaceae. The record is from RNAcentral.
GUGCCAGCAGCCGCGGUAAUACGGAGGGUGCGAGCGUUAAUCGGAAUUACUGGGCGUAAAGCGUGCGCAGGCGGUUUGUUAAGCGAGAUGUGAAAGCCCCGGGCUCAACCUGGGAACCGCAUUUCGAACUGGCAAACUAGAGUCUUGUAGAGGGGGGUAGAAUUCCAGGUGUAGCGGUGAAAUGCGUAGAGAUCUGGAGGAAUACCGGUGGCGAAGGCGGCCCCCUGGACAAAGACUGACGCUCAGGCACGAAAGCGUGGGGAGCAAACAGGAUUAGAUACCCUGGUAGUCCACGCCGUAAACGAUGUCUACUCGGAGUUUGGUGUCUUGAACACUGGGCUCUCAAGCUAACGCAUUAAGUAGACCGCCUGGGGAGUACGGCCGCAAGGUUAAAACUCAAAUGAAUUGACGGGGGCCCGCACAAGCGGUGGAGCAUGUGGUUUAAUUCGAUGCAACGCGAAGAACCUUACCUACUCUUGACAUCCACAGAA